AGGUAAUAGCUCAACAGCAAUUGUGCACUUAUGAAUGCCUUGAACAGAAAUAUUGUAAUUAUAUCUUUAUGCAAUAUCAAUAAAGAAUUUAACUAAUUCACUUCAAAUGAAAACAGUCUUACAUAUAACACAUUUAUAUUAACCACACAAAUCCAGUCCGCUCUUUGCUUCCUUACCCUACUCUUGGUUUUGUGGACACCACGACGAUUUAUAGCUUGUUAAUAAUUAUCAGUAAAUUCUCCAGUAUUGGCCGGGAAGCUACGGUUUAUUUUACCAACCUUUCCAGACGUGUUCCUCCUCUCCAUCUUAUGUGAUUUGCGCACCGGUCUAACGCAAGCUUUGUUCCCAAUCUUACAUUUAUCUCAGCUAUGCACUGUCCUUUCCUAUAAUGGCGGCCGUACCUGCAGUAUCAAUUUUAUAUUCGUAGAUCACGUGUAACGAAUUCAGGCGAGAGUUACGCUAUUCUAGAGCCUAAAACUUAAAAGGUAUGUUUUUAUAUCCAAAAAGAAUGACCGUUAUUUGAACUAUUUAACACUAAACAACUUCAUAAACAAAUUUCCAAACACAAUACUUUUUAAAAUUACUUACGAACACAUAUACUUACACAUGCGAGCUGUGCUGCAUUUUGUAUGCUCUUGUCAUCCGAGCGGCUUAGCCUGGGCAGUUUUAAUGGGGAUACAUUCGCCAUGUUCUAGAAAGCACAAAAUAUAUAUAUAAUGACUAGUAUAAAGAUGAAAGACAAUAAAAACUUUAGCUUAUUAUUAAAAGAAUACCAUAAAUUACCUACUUCGUUGAGAAGGACCUCGCUUGAGGAAACAGAAAGGAGCCGGAAACGGCCUUUCCGCCAGUCCCAUACCUUAUUUGGAAAUGGGACUAUUGCAUUGCGGAAAUGAAGGGGGCGCUAUUUUCAUAAUCACCUUAAGACGCAGGGUUAAAAGGAACGGAAGAAGAAAGAAAGAAGUUUGAGAGGUUCUUCCACUGGUGUUCGGCACAUGAUCAACAAUGCAAAACUCACAAAGUCAACAAAAGAUCCACGUAUCUAUUUGCAACAUUCGGAACGGAGAGAAGAUUCUUCCGUAUUGCAUGAACGAUAAAUAUUGCUGUUCCCUUUGCUCAUACAAGCUACAGAACCAUUUAGCACAAACUGCUAUGGUUCAACAUAACGAUGCCUCUGAAUGUUCUUGAAGCUGUUCUCCAGGAGGUGAUACCAGCACAGGGAGACUCGGCUUGCGUCACCUUGGCAUUGACCUGCAAGUCCUUUGAAGCCGUUGUAUCUGACCCAGUUUUCAGGAAGAAGACUCACUUUGCUUGGCUGGAUGGUGAGAUCAACUGGGGCAAUUUUUCAAAAACAUUCAAGGCA
Molecule: long non-coding RNA, 1360 nt
Organism: Xiphophorus couchianus (Monterrey platyfish)
Lineage: Eukaryota; Metazoa; Chordata; Actinopteri; Cyprinodontiformes; Poeciliidae
Exons: 4
Source: RefSeq, a predicted model, not a curated record